RNAcentral lists this ribosomal RNA (253 nucleotides) under uncultured bacterium. Its description in RNAcentral is "partial 16S ribosomal RNA". It matches the Rfam family "Bacterial small subunit ribosomal RNA", at positions 524 to 776 of the family's 1533-position model. The record is from RNAcentral.
UACGGGGGGGGCAAGCGUUGUUCGGAAUCACUGGGCGUAAAGGGUGCGUAGGCGGGUCUUUAAGUCAGGGGUGAAAUCCUGGAGCUCAACUCCAGAACUGCCUUUGAUACUGAGGAUCUUGAGUUCGGGAGAGGUGAGUGGAACUGCGAGUGUAGAGGUGAAAUUCGUAGAUAUUCGCAAGAACACCAGUGGCGAAGGCGGCUCACUGGCCCGAUACUGACGCUGAGGCACGAAAGCGUGGGGAGCAAACAGG